RNAcentral lists this small nuclear RNA (104 nucleotides) under Myotis davidii. The record is from RNAcentral. Lineage: Eukaryota; Metazoa; Chordata; Mammalia; Chiroptera; Vespertilionidae.
GUGCUCACUUUGGCAGCACAUAUACUAAAAUUGGAACGAUACAAAGAUUAGCAUGGCCCCUGCUCAAGGAUGACACGCAAAUUCGUGAAGCAUUCAUUAAAAAA